GCUACGCUAAUACCGCAUAAGCCCUGAGGGGGAAAGCGGGGGAUUCUUAGGAACCUCGCGCAAUUGGAGCGGCCGAUGUCAGAUUAGCUAGUUGGUAGGGUAAAGGCCUACCAAGGCGACGAUCUGUAGCGGGUCUGAGAGGAUGAUCCGCCACACUGGGACUGAGACACGGCCCAGACUCCUACGGGAGGCAGCAGUGGGGAAUUUUGGACAAUGGGGGCAACCCUGAUCCAGCCAUGCCGCGUGAGUGAAGAAGGCCUUCGGGUUGUAAAGCUCUUUCAGUUGGGAAGAAACGGGGUUCUCUAACAUAGAGCUCUAAUGACGGUACCGACAGAAGAAGCACCGGCUAACUACGUGCCAGCAGCCGCGGUAAUAC
RNAcentral lists this ribosomal RNA (376 nucleotides) under uncultured bacterium. Its description in RNAcentral is "bacterial SSU rRNA". It matches the Rfam family "Bacterial small subunit ribosomal RNA", at positions 157 to 526 of the family's 1533-position model. The record is from RNAcentral.